UGCCAGCCGCCGCGGUAACACGGGGGGCGCAAGCGUUAUUCGGAAUUAUUGGGCGUAAAGGGCGCGUAGGCGGUCUUGUCAGUCAGAUGUGAAAGCCCCGGGCUUAACCUGGGAACUGCAUUUGAUACUGAUAGGCUAGAGUAUGGGAGAGAGAAGUGGAAUUCCACAUGUAGCGGUGAAAUGCGUAGAUAUGUGGAGGAACAUCAGUGGCGAAGGCGACUUCUUGGCCCAAGACUGACGCUCAGGUGCGAAAGCGUGGGGAGCAAACAGGAUUAGAUA
RNAcentral lists this ribosomal RNA (279 nucleotides) under uncultured bacterium. RNAcentral describes it as "partial 16S ribosomal RNA". It matches the Rfam family "Bacterial small subunit ribosomal RNA", at positions 506 to 784 of the family's 1533-position model. The record is from RNAcentral.